Non-coding RNA from Rattus norvegicus (Norway rat), 402 nucleotides. The record is from RefSeq and is a predicted model, not a curated record. Lineage: Eukaryota; Metazoa; Chordata; Mammalia; Rodentia; Muridae.
GGGAUGCUGGGAUGUGUUUUUAUUCUAGGAUACUAUGUAUCCAGCUAAAUCCAGAAGGCUGUAAGCUACCCCAGGGAGAUGGACAGUGAGGGCAGCGCGGCCCCGGAACCCCUGGGGUGUGUCAGCUGCGUUGAGGAACUUCCGUCUGUGACUAUAACUAGUUCUGGGCAGAUGCCUCCAGGAAAACUACACUACAACCGCAGCUGCCUGCUGCCAAUGUGGACACAUCUGACUGCAAAUCAGACUGUUGCAGUUACAACUUGUUUAAGCAGCCUGCGUUGAAUUCUAGACCACCUUGCUUGCCCUAUAGCUAUUCUCAAUCGGGCCGGGUGGGGAGCACUACCUCACUGGCCUAGCAGAAGGCCUGCCUGUGAUUGGUGCAAGAACAACUCUUCAUUUGCA